RNAcentral lists this unclassified non-coding RNA (383 nucleotides) under uncultured Verrucomicrobiaceae bacterium. Its description in RNAcentral is "contains 16S-23S intergenic spacer region". Lineage: Bacteria; Pseudomonadati; Verrucomicrobiota; Verrucomicrobiia; Verrucomicrobiales; Verrucomicrobiaceae. The record is from RNAcentral.
UCCCAGUUUAUCUGGGCAGUCUUGCUUGAGUGCCUGGUAAUUAACCAGUAGCAACAAGCCACGAGGGUUGCGCUCGUUGCGGGACUUAACCCAACAUCUCACGACACGAGCUGACGACAGCCAUGCAGCACCUGUGCAGAGCGCGUAUUGCUACGCUGCUCCUCUUUCGAGAAGGUUACAGUGCAUGUCAAGCCCAGGUAAGGUUCUUCGCGUUGCAUCGAAUUAAGCCACAUACUCCACCGCUUGUGCGGGUCCCCGUCAAUUUCUUUGAGUUUUAAUCUUGCGACCGUACUUCCCAGGCGGCGCGCUUAACGCGUUAGCUCCGGCACGGCAGGGGUCGAGCCCCGCCAUACCAAGCGCGCACCGUUUACAGCUAGGACUAC